GCACAGAGAGCUUGCUCUCGGGUGACGAGCGGCGGACGGGUGAGUAAUGUCUGGGAAACUGCCUGAUGGAGGGGGAUAACUACUGGAAACGGUAGCUAAUACCGCAUAACGUCGCAAGACCAAAGUGGGGGACCUUCGGGCCUCAUGCCAUCAGAUGUGCCCAGAUGGGAUUAGCUAGUAGGUGGGGUAACGGCUCACCUAGGCGACGAUCCCUAGCUGGUCUGAGAGGAUGACCAGCCACACUGGAACUGAGACACGGUCCAGACUCCUACGGGAGGCAGCAGUGGGGAAUAUUGCACAAUGGGCGCAAGCCUGAUGCAGCCAUGCCGCGUGUAUGAAGAAGGCCUUCGGGUUGUAAAGUACUUUCAGCGGGGAGGAAGGCGAUAAGGUUAAUAACCUUGUCGAUUGACGUUACCCGCAGAAGAAGCACCGGCUAACUCCGUGCCAGCAGCCGCGGUAAUACGGAGGGUGCAAGCGUUAAUCGGAAUUACUGGGCGUAAAGCGCACGCAGGCGGUCUGUCAAGUCGGAUGUGAAAUCCCCGGGCUCAACCUGGGAACUGCAUUCGAAACUGGCAGGCUAGAGUCUUGUAGAGGGGGGUAGAAUUCCAGGUGUAGCGGUGAAAUGCGUAGAGAUCUGGAGGAAUACCGGUGGCGAAGGCGGCCCCCUGGACAAGACUGACGCUCAUGUGCGAAAGCGUGGGGAGCAAACAGGAUUAGAUACCCCU
This 725-nucleotide ribosomal RNA is filed under the name Klebsiella pneumoniae. RNAcentral's name for it is "bacterial SSU rRNA". It matches the Rfam family "Bacterial small subunit ribosomal RNA", at positions 69 to 788 of the family's 1533-position model. Lineage: Bacteria; Pseudomonadati; Pseudomonadota; Gammaproteobacteria; Enterobacterales; Enterobacteriaceae. The record is from RNAcentral.